RNAcentral lists this long non-coding RNA (1391 nucleotides) under Prunus dulcis (almond). Its description in RNAcentral is "sRNA ncRNA". Lineage: Eukaryota; Viridiplantae; Streptophyta; Magnoliopsida; Rosales; Rosaceae. The record is from RNAcentral.
AUUUAUUUGUUGGUUAGCCUAGUCCUAAUGGAAUUAGUUAAUAAUAUUUUAUUUAAGUGGUUAGCCUAGUCCUAAUGGGAUUAAUUAAUAAUAUUUUAUUUAGAUGACCUAGGCUAGAAUAUUAAUUUAGUCUAUUAAAAAACAAGAUGCCUGGGGUUUAGCCCAGGUUAGCAUGUUAGUAGGUACAUGCCUGCAUCUAAUCAACUGCAUGCACUGUGGUUUUGUACACCAUCCUCUGCCUAAACUUUUAGAAGAUUUGUCAAGAUCUUCACAAAGAGCUUGAGGAAGCUUGGCCGUCUGCAUAGUAUAUAGAGACAUAGAAGAAGCAACAGAUUGGAUUAAAGUGAUUCUUCUAGCUAUAGAAAGCAGUUGACUUUUCCAAGCAGAAGGUUUAGCCUGAACUUUAACCAGAACUCCCCUAUACAUAGCCUUGUCAGGUCUCCGUUUUUUAACAGAAACAUACUGCCCUGCUACUACCCAAGGACCCUCAGUUAACACAUACAACAAAUCCUCCUCAAGAACAAAACAAACAAUGAAGAACCCAUUGUCUAAAGCAACUAAUUGCGUUGGUCCCUUAAGUCUCCAGCGCUGCUUCAGACGUGCAAAGACAAAAUUAUAGGUAUGAGUCUUCCCUACAAAUUGGAUAAUCACAGAAUUUCUCCAAGGUCUAUAGAUCUAAUUCUUAACAUGUUCAGAAAAACGAAUUGAAUGACCAUAUGGAGAAUCUUCAACUUUAUAAUCACCAGAUUCAAUGGAGAAACCAUCCUUCUCCAUUCCUUCAGUAUAUUCAAAACAAGAAGAGCUUAGUAACUUAUCUUUGAAAUUGACCUCUAGCAUGGAAGGGAUCUGAUCGGACUAAUCCAUGCCACCAUCAUCGCCUUCAGGAGGCGCAAAAUCCUCAGAACGGAAUCGUUUGGACGAACCAUCCUUCAUGACACUCUUGGUAGGCCGGUGAGCCGAAAACGUGAAACCAGGAGAUGCAGUCGCCUUCGAGCCAAUUGAAUCUAAAAGAGUUGGGCAAGAGAACGUAGAAGGAGAGGGAGCGCGUGAAGCACAUUCCAACGCACUCAUAGCGACCCGAUUGAAUUCCUCAUUCAUGAUAUUUGUUGAUGAUAGAGUUUUCAUUCAUUCUUCCAGCUAAUUACAACCGGUAUGUAUGCUGCACAAAUGAAGAACAAUCAUUUGUCUUUCCUUAACUUUUCCCUAAGCAUUGUUUUGUUACAGACUUUUGCUUUGCUUAAAUGACAUUAUGAACCAAAAACAUAUUAGCUGCCCAUUGGUCCCUUAAAAUUAUUUUAAAUUUUCUCUUUCAAUAUUACUAACACCCACAUUAAGGGGAAAAUUUGAUAUAAAAAAAGGUUGUGCGGUGGAAUAAUGUUUUCUUGGUGACA